AGGACGAACGCUGGCGGCGUGCUUAACACAUGCAAGUCGAGCGGUGAUCCUCCUUCGGGAGGUGAUCAGCGGCGAACGGGUGAGUAACACGUGGGCAACCUGCCCCUCACACUGGGAUAACCUCGGGAAACCGGGGCUAAUACCGGAUACGACCUCGAGCGGCAUCUCUUGAGGUGGAAAGCUCCGACGGUGAGGGAUGGGCCCGCGGCCUAUCAGCUUGUUGGUGGGGUAAUGGCCUACCAAGGCGACGACGGGUAGCCGGCCUGAGAGGGCGACCGGCCACACUGGGACUGAGACACGGCCCAGACUCCUACGGGAGGCAGCAGUGGGGAAUAUUGCGCAAUGGGCGAAAGCCUGACGCAGCGACGCCGCGUGAGGGAUGAAGGCCUCGGGUUGUAAACCUCUUUCAGCAGGGACGAAGCGAAAGUGACGGUACCUGCAGAAGAAGCACCGGCUAACUACGUGCCAGCAGCCGCGGUAA
This 481-nucleotide ribosomal RNA is filed under the name uncultured bacterium. RNAcentral describes it as "SSU rRNA". It matches the Rfam family "Bacterial small subunit ribosomal RNA", at positions 26 to 523 of the family's 1533-position model. The record is from RNAcentral.